This 376-nucleotide unclassified non-coding RNA is filed under the name soil metagenome. RNAcentral describes it as "partial contains 5.8S ribosomal RNA, internal transcribed spacer 2, and large subunit ribosomal RNA". The stretch from base 3 to 119 matches the Rfam family "5.8S ribosomal RNA", at positions 38 to 154 of the family's 154-position model. The record is from RNAcentral.
GAGAAGAACGCAGCGAAAUGCGAUAAGUAAUGUGAAUUGCAGAAUUCAGUGAAUCAUCGAAUCUUUGAACGCACCUUGCACCCUUUGGCAUUCCGAAGGGUAUGCUCGUUUGAGUGUCAUUGUACUCUCACACUUCCGAUCUUUGGAUUGGGAGCGGUGGACUUGGGUGUUGCUGCUUACUGUGGCUCACCUCAAAUCGAUUCGUGCACCUCUUGGUUGGACAUAGUACGGCGUGAUAAGUGUCUUCGCCGGCACCUCAGUAGAGGGUGGCUGAUCGGGAGCUCUGCUUCAAACCGUCCUCGGACAACAACUGACAACUUGACCUCAAAUCGAGUAGGACUACCCGCUGAACUUAAGCAUAUCAAUAAGCGGAGGA